UCCAGAGGGGGCUAGCGUUGUUCGGAAUUACUGGGCGUAAAGGGCGCGUAGGUGGCCUGUUAAGUCGAACGUGAAAUCCCCGGGCUCAACCCGGGAACUGCGUCCGAGACUGGCAGGCUCGAAUCCGGGAGAGGGAUGUGGAAUUCCAGGUGUAGCGGUGAAAUGCGUAGAUAUCUGGAGGAACACCGGUGGCGAAGGCGGCAUCCUGGACCGGUAUUGACGCUGAGGCGCGAAAGCUAGGGGAGCAAACGGG
This 253-nucleotide ribosomal RNA is filed under the name uncultured bacterium. Its description in RNAcentral is "partial 16S ribosomal RNA". It matches the Rfam family "Bacterial small subunit ribosomal RNA", at positions 524 to 776 of the family's 1533-position model. The record is from RNAcentral.